RNAcentral lists this small RNA (168 nucleotides) under Paenibacillus selenitireducens. Its description in RNAcentral is "c-di-AMP sequence". It matches the Rfam family "c-di-AMP riboswitch aptamer (ydaO/yuaA leader)". Rfam says of the family: This family represents a conserved RNA structure found upstream of the ydaO and yuaA genes in Bacillus subtilis and related genes in other bacteria. The ydaO/yuaA element is thought to act as a genetic "off" switch for the ydaO and yuaA genes in its native state. The record is from Rfam by way of RNAcentral. Lineage: Bacteria; Bacillati; Bacillota; Bacilli; Caryophanales; Paenibacillaceae.
CAAAUGUAUUCGCUGAAUCCUUGAAUGGAAAAGGAACGGGGGAACCAAUCGACUGUCAAGCUUUUGACGUCAUGGGGUGAAUCUCAGUGACAUAACUCUAUGUACUGAGUAGGGCGACUCUCACGCCCGAAUCCGUCAGCUAACCUCGUAAGCGUGUAGAGAGGCAAC